This 472-nucleotide ribosomal RNA is filed under the name uncultured bacterium. Its description in RNAcentral is "bacterial SSU rRNA". It matches the Rfam family "Bacterial small subunit ribosomal RNA", at positions 331 to 795 of the family's 1533-position model. The record is from RNAcentral.
CCAGACUCCUACGGGAGGCAGCAGUGGGGAAUAUUGCACAAUGGGCGCAAGCCUGAUGCAGCCAUGCCGCGUGUAUGAAGAAGGCCUUCGGGUUGUAAAGUACUUUCAGCGGGGAGGAAGGCGAUAAGGUUAAUAACCUUGUCGAUUGACGUUACCCGCAGAAGAAGCACCGGCUAACUCCGUGCCAGCAGCCGCGGUAAUACGGAGGGUGCAAGCGUUAAUCGGAAUUACUGGGCGUAAAGCGCACGCAGGCAGUCUGUCAAGACGGAUGGGGAAGCCCCGGGCUCAACCUGGGAACUGCAUUCGAAACCGGCAGGCUGGAGUCUUGUAGAGGGGGGUAGAAUUCCAGGUGGAGCGGUGAAAUGCGUAGAGAUCUGGAGGAAUACCGGUGGCGAAGGCGGCCCCCUGGACAAAGACUGACGCUCAGGUGCGAAAGCGUGGGGAGCAAACAGGAUUAGAUACCCCUGUAGAA